UACGAAGGGGGCUAGCGUUGCUCGGAAUUACUGGGCGUAAAGCGCACGUAGGCGGACUACUAAGUCAGGGGUGAAAUCCCGGGGCUCAACCCCGGAACUGCCUUUGAUACUGGUAGUCUCGAGUCCGGAAGAGGUGAGUGGAAUUCCGAGUGUAGAGGUGAAAUUCGUAGAUAUUCGGAGGAACACCAGUGGCGAAGGCGGCUCACUGGUCCGGUACUGACGCUGAGGUGCGAAAGCGUGGGGAGCAAACAGG
This 253-nucleotide ribosomal RNA is filed under the name uncultured bacterium. RNAcentral describes it as "partial 16S ribosomal RNA". It matches the Rfam family "Bacterial small subunit ribosomal RNA", at positions 524 to 776 of the family's 1533-position model. The record is from RNAcentral.